CCUUCUUUCUUUCUUCUUCAUUCUUCCUCUUUUUCUUCUGUCUUCUACAUCUUAUUCCUCUUCUUCUUCUUCUUCACUCUUUCUCUUUUUCUUCUGUCUUCUACGACAUUGUUUUUUGGUUUCAAAAACAAAAUCUAAAUUUGCUAUUAACAAUAUCGCUAACGAAGCCCUAGUCGAAGCCAAUAAAAGAUAUCGAAGUCUUACUACAGAUGUCGGGUUGCUCUCAUCGCAUUUGUGAACCGACAUCCACCAUUUUGGGUCUGAAUAAUCCACACCUACUGAUUCAAUGGUUAUUGCGGAGAGGCUGUCCAAGGAAGACAUUGGUGGUUUGAAAGACUGCUAUUCAACGAAUUGGUUGGAAAUUCCAUGUAUGUGUGGAGGAUUUCAAGUUGACGGAGAACAUUGUUAUGCGGGCGUGGUCGAAUUGAGUGAUGAGCUUGGGUGUAGACAAUUAGCCUCGGAGAUUCACUUGCGUGUAAAUGAUUAUUUCCCAUCGAUGUAGCUAGAUAUUAAGAUAUUGAACGAAUAUGAGUAUCUAUAGACUACAUAUCAAAGAGGUUAAGCGAUUUCGUGUUCGAAAUCUACAUCAAUGAGCUGAAGCGAUUCUGUUUUCAAAAGCUACAUCAAUGAGCUGAAGUGAUUUCGUGUUCGACACUACACCAACUUAGAUCGUUCAUGUUUUUAAUGCCAAAUCUGUUUUAUGAAAAGGCUUUGGGUUUGAAGGCACUGAGUAAGAAUGAUAAUCUUGAGAGCAAGGUGAAGUUUCCAAAUACGCUACACAACACAUUUCGAAAAUUUUAGGUGAAUGAUUUGGAGCACAGAGUUGUUAACAGUAGUCACAGAGCAUGUUCUUCACAAAGGUACCGAUGUUACAUUUGAUUCCAAAAACAAAAUUCUCAAAAUCAAUAAACAUGUAGUAACAGUUAGUUUUGACUAUGGAGUAAGAGUAUAAGCUUUUCUUUUUUCAAAAGUCGGCCACAGUUUUGUAUGAUAACUUGAAUGCCUAUGAUGGUGAUCAUAUUGAGCUUUCUAAAUAAGGUAGGUUUCUCUUAAAAAAAAAAAGCCAUGCACAAAAAAUGGAAGAAGGUCCAAUGAUCCUUUAUAUGACAGGACAACACUUCAUAUUGAUCUAAUGUCCAAUCUCUCUCACUCUCUAUGAACUAUCCAUUAUAUAUAACUCUGCACAUCAAACAAGAAACUAUUGUCCUAUAAAUCUUGCCCAUCCUGAAUCAAAUUGAACGUGCAUGAUUUGACGAACAAAUAUGUUGGAAAGAUGAACCCGGUUUUUUAAUUUAACUUAACAUUCCUGAUUCUAUAAUUUCUUACACGACUGUAUUUUUUUGCAUAUGUAACAGUUUAUUUUGUACAAGCUGUAAUUUAUGGAUUAAUGAUUUAUGCAAUGAUUGGUUUUGAAUGGUCUGUGGUAAAAAUUUUGUGGUACCUAUUCUUCAUGUAUUUUACCUUCCUCUACUGCAUUCUAUUCUCUAUGGAAUCUCUUCUCAGGAUUCAUAGUCCCAAGACCAGAAAGUUUUCAAUUUCCUCAAAUUCUUAACACUUUUUUACUUUUUAGCAUAGAGGAAUAUAGCUAGAUUACUACAUUCUUUUUUAAUGGCUUGGACUAACAGAAAAUUCAAGUGUGGUGGAGAUGGCAGUGUUGGGUAAAUUCAGUGGCUUGGAGCUUGUAUGGAUGGUUGGUAUCACAAUAUGGUGAUAUAAAACACAAGAGUGAAUCAAGUGAUGGAGAAGUAACAACAGUGGAAGAGUUUUUUAGAGAUUACGUUGGUUUCAAACAUGAUUUUCUAGGAGUUGUUGAUGUUGUUAGUGUUGCAUUUCCAAUAGCUUUUUCUUUGACCUUUGCCAUAUCAAUCAAGGUGUUUAAUUUCCAAAAGCGUUAAAAACAUACGAAUUUCAUCUAAUGAAUAAAAGAUCCCACAACCAU
Long non-coding RNA from Vicia villosa (hairy vetch), 1939 nucleotides. RefSeq lists it as uncharacterized. The record is from RefSeq and is a predicted model, not a curated record. Lineage: Eukaryota; Viridiplantae; Streptophyta; Magnoliopsida; Fabales; Fabaceae. The transcript has 6 exons.